UUAGAUCCAGAGGAAUUCAAUAAACUAUUAGAAUCUUAGUUAUUAACUAUAUAUUUCUUAUCUUAUCUUCUUAUCUAUUCAAAGUCGAUAGGAAUUGAAUAUAGAAAAUAAUAACAAACAAAAUCAAUAUUGAAUAUUCUAAUUAUAGAACACAACGAUUAAUAGAGCGAUAUCGAUAUAAUAUAAUUUCGAUUUAUUUAUCACUAUUUAUUUAUCACUAAUACAAUUCGAAUAUUAUUUAAUUUGAUAUAUCUUUUAUUAUAUUGAGUUUUAUUAUAUUGAGUUUUAGAUAAUUAACCUUUUUGAAUUCAAAUGACUUUUGAAUUUCUUCUUUUUUCUUUUUAUUGUAUUAUUUUGUAUUAUUUUAUUUCCAAUUACUAAUGGUUAGUUAGAACCAAUGAGACAUGACCACUUUCAGUCAUAAAGAGAUAAGUAGGAAAGGCGGAAAUUAAGAUAACAAAAAGAGAAUCGACCCUUCAAGUAUUCAAAAUUACAUCGAAAAUGUGACAGGCGAAUAUAUCUACCUAGGAUAUAUAUCCAUCUAUGUUGAAUUGCAGAUACAGAAAUGGUACAAUCAUAAUCGAUUGAACCAAAUCCAAAUAAGGUUCUCCUAUAAAAAAAAUAAGAAGAAGGUGGGUAAGAGAUAAAAUAAAACACUUUUUCGAGAUAGGAAUCCGGUAUCUAAUGAAUUCAACGAUUUCAAUAUAAAUGAAAGAAAAAAAGAAACGACAUCACAAUUAAAUUCGAAUCUCAACGAAAAAAUGAGGGGGGAUAUGGCGAAAUUGGUAGACGCUACGGACUUAAUUAGAUUGGGCCUUGGUAUGGAAACCCGCCGAGUGAGAACUUUCAAAUUCAGAGAAACCCCGGAAUUAAUAAAAAGGGGCAAUCCUGAGCCAAAUCCUGUUUUCUGAAAACAAAGGUUCAGAAAAUAAAAAGGGGGAUAGGUGCAGAGACUCAAUGGAAGCUGUUCUAACAAAUGGAGUUGGCUGCAGUAGUAGAGAAGUCUUUCCAUCAAAAAUUAAGUAAGUAUUUCAGUAAGUAUAAAGUAUUAAGGAUCGGGUGAAGUGAAGGAGAAACGUAUAUACAUACACAUACGUAGUGAAUAAUAUAUUAAAUGAGUAAUGAUAGCCCGAAUCAAUCUAUUUUUUUCUAUGAAAAAACAAAGAAUUGGUGUGAAUAGAUUCUACGUUGAAGAAAGAAUCAAAUAUUCAUUGAUCAAAUGAUUCCCUCCAUAGUCUGAUAAAUCUUUUCAAGAACUGAUUAAUCGGACGAGAAUAAAGAUAGAGUCCCAUUCUACAUGUCAAUGCCGGCAGCAAUGAAAUUUAUAGUUAAGAGGAAAAUCCGUCGACUUUUAAAAAUCGUGAGGGUUCAAGCCCCUCUAUCCCCAACUAAAAACUAAACUAUUUGACUCUCCAACUAUCUAUUUCUUUUCUCUUUUUGUUAUCGCCUUAUCCAUUCACUCUAUUCUCUUAGAAUUGAUCGGUGCGGAAAUGCCCUUUUCUUAUCACAUCACAAUCACAUCUAGAUGAUAUACAUACAAAUGAACAUCCUUGAGAAAGAAAUACCCAUUUGAAUGAUUUACAAUCUAUAUUCUAUUAUAUAUAGAAUUAAUAGAAUUACUAAUACGGAAACUCCCCAAGUUCCCUUUGUUUUGUUAAGAUCCAAGCCAAGCAAUUUCAGUACCUAACUAUAAAUAAAACUUGGCAAUUCCCCUUCCUUCUUUUAAUUGACACAGCCCCCAUUUUCGAGUAAAAUGAGAAUG
This 1762-nucleotide precursor RNA is filed under the name Pagamea guianensis. Its description in RNAcentral is "partial transfer RNA-Thr". The stretch from base 793 to 1310 matches the Rfam family "Group I catalytic intron". The record is from RNAcentral. Lineage: Eukaryota; Viridiplantae; Streptophyta; Magnoliopsida; Gentianales; Rubiaceae.